This 440-nucleotide ribosomal RNA is filed under the name uncultured bacterium. RNAcentral describes it as "partial 16S ribosomal RNA". It matches the Rfam family "Bacterial small subunit ribosomal RNA", at positions 338 to 795 of the family's 1533-position model. The record is from RNAcentral.
CCUACGGGAGGCAGCAGUAGGGAAUAUUGCUCAAUGGGGGAAACCCUGAAGCAGCAACGCCGCGUGGAGGAUGAAGGUUUUCGGAUUGUAAACUCCUUUUGUUAGAGAAGAUAAUGACGGUAUCUAACGAAUAAGCACCGGCUAACUCCGUGCCAGGAGCCGCGGUAAUACGGAGGGUGCAAGCGUUACUCGGAAUCACUGGGCGUAAAGGGCGCGUAGGCGGGAUAGCAAGUCAGAUGUGAAAUCCUAGGGCUUAACCAUAGAACUGCAUUUGAAACUGUUAUUCUAGAGUAGUGGAGAGGUAGGUGGAAUUCUUGGUGUAGGGGUAAAAUGCGUAGAGAUCAAGAGGAAUACUCAUGGCGAAGGCGACCUGCUAGAACAUAACUGACGCUGAUGCGCGAAAGCGUGGGGAGCAAACAGGAUUAGAUACCCGUGUAGUC